AUGGUGGUUGUAUCAGGAAUCCUACUGCUAUUCUGUAUUCUGUCGCCGUUAUUACAAAGAACAACAACGACAGGAGAUAUAGUCUGCUUGGCGUGGAAUUGCCGAGGAAUUGGGGGCUCCAAGACAGUCCGCGACUUGGUGUCCCUCAAUCAAGUGCAUCAUCCUAGCUUUAUAUUCCUUUGUCAAACUAAUAAGAUAAAGAGAAGACGUUUGAGAAAUCGGCUAGGCCUGAGAGGCUUUGCAGGAAUAAGCAGUGCACGGUUCAGUGGAGGGCUGGCCCUCUUCUAGGAUGAGCACUUG
RNAcentral lists this ribosomal RNA (300 nucleotides) under Triticum aestivum (bread wheat). Its description in RNAcentral is "partial small subunit ribosomal RNA". The record is from RNAcentral. Lineage: Eukaryota; Viridiplantae; Streptophyta; Magnoliopsida; Poales; Poaceae.